AGAGUUUGAUCAUGGCUCAGGACGAACGCUGGCGGCGUGCUUAAUACAUGCAAGUCGAGCGAGGUUACUGUUUUGGAUCCCUUUCGGGGUGAAGAAGCUUUAACCUAGCGGCGGACGGGUGAGUAACGCGUGGGUAACCUACCCCAAAGUCCGGGAUAACAGCGGGAAACCGCUGCUAAUACCGGAUGCCUUUACCUUGGGGCAUCUUUAGGUAAAGAAAGGUAACGCUUUGGGAUGGGCCCGCGUCCCAUUAGCUAGUUGGUGAGGUAACGGCUCACCAAGGCGACGAUGGGUAGCCGGCCUGAGAGGGUGGACGGCCACACUGGGACUGAGACACGGCCCAGACUCCUACGGGAGGCAGCAGUAAGGAGUUUUCGGCAAUGGGGGAAACCCUGACCGAGCAACGCCGCGUGAGUGAUGAAGGUCCUUUGGAUUGUAAAGCUCUGUUGUAAGCCAUGAAUGGUAGCUAUAGGAAAUGAUAGUUACUUGGCGACAGCUUACCAGAAAGCCACGGCUAACUACGUGCCAGCAGCCGCGGUAAUACGUAGGUGGCAAGCGUUAUCCGGAAUUAUUGGGCGUAAAGAGUGAGCAGGCGGCUGAAUAAGUCUGAAGUCAAAUCGUGGGGCUCAACCCCAUUUCGCUUUGGAAACUGUUUGGCUAGAGUACGGCAGAAGUGAAGGGAACUCCAUGUGUAGCGGUGAAAUGCGUAGAUAUAUGGAAGAACACCAGUGGCGAAGGCGCUUCACUAGGCCGAAACUGACGCUCAGUCACGAAAGCGUGGGUAGCAAAUAGGAUUAGAUACCCUAGUAGUCCACGCCGUAAACGAUGAUAACUAAAUAUUGCCGCGAGGCAGUGUUGAAGCUAACGCAUUAAGUUAUCCGCCUGGGGAGUACGGUCGCAAGACUGAAACUCAAAGGAAUUGACGG
Molecule: ribosomal RNA, 926 nt
Filed under: uncultured bacterium
Lineage: Bacteria
Description: bacterial SSU rRNA
Rfam family: Bacterial small subunit ribosomal RNA
Source: RNAcentral